GACGAACGCUGGCGGCGUGCUUAACACAUGCAAGUCGAGCGGUAAGGCCCUUUCGGGGGUACACGAGCGGCGAACGGGUGAGUAACACGUGAGCAACCUGCCCUUCACUUCGGGAUAAGCCUCGGAAACGGGGUCUAAUACCGGAUAUCACUCCUUACUUCAUGGUUUGGGGUUGAAAGUUUUGGCGGUGGGGAUGGGCUCGCGGCCUAUCAGCUUGUUGGUGGGGUAAUGGCCUACCAAGGCGUCGACGGGUAGCCGGCCUGAGAGGGCGACCGGCCACACUGAGACUGAGACACGGCCCAGACUCCUAUGGGAGGCAGCAGGUGGGGAAUAUUGCGCAAUGGACGGAAGUCUGACGCAGCAACGCCGCGUGAGGGAUGACGGCC
This 386-nucleotide ribosomal RNA is filed under the name uncultured bacterium. RNAcentral's name for it is "bacterial SSU rRNA". It matches the Rfam family "Bacterial small subunit ribosomal RNA", at positions 28 to 416 of the family's 1533-position model. The record is from RNAcentral.